GCGGAUGUGGCUCAGUUGGUAGAGCAUCACCUUGCCAAGGUGAGGGUCGCGGGUUCGAGUCCCGUCAUCCGCUCCG
RNAcentral lists this transfer RNA (76 nucleotides) under Actinomyces naeslundii. RNAcentral describes it as "tRNA-Gly". It matches the Rfam family "tRNA". Rfam says of the family: Transfer RNA (tRNA) molecules are approximately 80 nucleotides in length. Their secondary structure includes four short double-helical elements and three loops (D, anti-codon, and T loops). Lineage: Bacteria; Bacillati; Actinomycetota; Actinomycetes; Actinomycetales; Actinomycetaceae. The record is from RNAcentral. RNAcentral also lists the same sequence under 32 other names.